This 1185-nucleotide ribosomal RNA is filed under the name uncultured bacterium. RNAcentral's name for it is "bacterial SSU rRNA". It matches the Rfam family "Bacterial small subunit ribosomal RNA", at positions 87 to 1306 of the family's 1533-position model. The record is from RNAcentral.
CGGGUCUAGUGGCGCACGGGUGCGUAACGCGUGGGAAUCUGCCCUUGGGUUCGGAAUAACUCAGAGAAAUUUGAGCUAAUACCGGAUGAUGACGUAAGUCCAAAGAUUUAUCGCCCAAGGAUGAGCCCGCGUAAGAUUAGCUUGUUGGUGGGGUAAUGGCCUACCAAGGCGACGAUCUUUAGCUGGUCUGAGAGGAUGAUCAGCCACACUGGGACUGAGACACGGCCCAGACUCCUACGGGAGGCAGCAGUGGGGAAUAUUGGGCAAUGGGCGCAAGCCUGACCCAGCGACGCCGCGUGAGGGAUGAAGGUCUUCGGAUUGUAAACCUCUUUCAGUAGGGAAGAAGCGAAAGUGACGGUACCUAAAGAAGAAGCACCGGCUAACUAUGUGCCAGCAGCCGCGGUAAUACAUAGGGUGCAAGCGUUGUCCGGAAUUAUUGGGCGUAAAGAGCUCGUAGGUCGUUUGUCGCGUCGAUUGUGAAAAUCUGAGGCUCAACCUCAGACCUGCAGUCGAUACGGGCAAACUAGAGUGUGGUAGGGGAGACUGGAAUUCCUGGUGUAGCGGUGGAAUGCGCAGAUAUCAGGAGGAACACCAAUGGCGAAGGCAGGUCUCUGGGCCAUAACUGACACUGAGGAGCGAAAGUGCGGGGAGCGAACAGGAUUAGAUACCCUGGUAGUCCGCACCGUAAACGGUGGGCACUAGUUGUGGGAACCUUCCACGGUUUCUGCGACGCAGCUAACGCAUUAAGUGCCCCGCCUGGGGAGUACGAUCGCAAGAUUAAAACUCAAAGGAAUUGACGGGGCCCCGCACAAGCAGCGGAGCAUGCGGCUCAAUUCGACGCAACGCGAAGAACCUUACCAAGGCUUGACAUAUAGGGAAAAGUGACAGAGAUGUCAUGUCCGCAAGGGCUCUAUACAGGUGGUGCAUGGUUGUCGUCAGCUCGUGUCGUGAGAUGUUGGGUUAAGUCCCGCAACGAGCGCAACCCUCGUUCUGUGUUGCCAGCAUUUAGUUGGGGACUCACAGGAGACUGCCGGGGUUAACUCGGAGGAAGGUGGGGAUGACGUCAAAUCAUCAUGCCCCUUAUGUCUUGGGCUGCACGCAUGCUACAAUGGCCGGUACAGAGGGCUGCAAUACCGUAAGGUGGAGCGAAUCCCAAAAAGCCGGUCUCAGUUCGGAUUGAGGUCA